GUAGAUAGAAUGAAAAAACUGGUUUUGGAGGAGAAAGAAAUCCUUUGCUAGCAAUAUUUUUGCUAAGAGUUUGUUUGGUUCAACGUAAAAUUGUAAAAAAUAAUUUUUUAUGAAAAUUUAAAAAUUAAUUUUGGUGGAAAAAAGUUUCACGUUUUGUAGUAUUGAUUUGUAGGGAAAAAAAAACUUCAUCAAUAUUUAUUUGGUUGGAAGGAAAAAAAUUUCUCAUUUGUUCGGUCCAGUGGAAAAUUAAAUGAAUGAAAAAAAAUUUACGCAGCUUAAGUUUUUAUUUUUUGCUAAAAGAAAAGUGAAAAACAAAAACUUUAAUUGUUUCUCAAAUCCAUAAAAAUACUUUUAUGGGAAAAUAUUUUUACAUCGAAUCAAACAAGAGGAAAAGCAUUUUUUGUACAAAAAAUAAAUUUUUGGUUC
This 426-nucleotide long non-coding RNA is filed under the name Ananas comosus (pineapple). Its description in RNAcentral is "long non-coding RNA (ACOM_LNC030491)". Lineage: Eukaryota; Viridiplantae; Streptophyta; Magnoliopsida; Poales; Bromeliaceae. The record is from RNAcentral.